ACCGGCGGCUCGAGUGGUGGCCACUAUUACUGGGCUUAAAGCGUUCGUAGCUGGCUUGUUAAGUCUCUGGGGAAAUCUUCCGGCUCAACCGGAAGGCGUCUCAGGGAUACUGGCAGGCUAGGGACCGGAAGAGGUGAGAGGUACUCCAGGGGUAGGAGUGAAAUCCUGGGAUCCGUGGGGGACCACCUGUGGCGAAGGCGUCACACCAGGCCGGCUCCGACAGUGAGGCGCGAAAGCUAGGGGAACAAACCG
RNAcentral lists this ribosomal RNA (252 nucleotides) under uncultured prokaryote. RNAcentral describes it as "partial 16S rRNA". It matches the Rfam family "Archaeal small subunit ribosomal RNA", at positions 475 to 726 of the family's 1478-position model. The record is from RNAcentral.